This is an RNA transcript of Labeo rohita (rohu), 11079 nucleotides long. It is a transcript of the gene named xin actin binding repeat containing 2b, with no coding region annotated. Lineage: Eukaryota; Metazoa; Chordata; Actinopteri; Cypriniformes; Cyprinidae. The transcript has 13 exons. The record is from RefSeq and is a predicted model, not a curated record.
CCAUCAAACUCUUCAUUUAUUCCUGUCAGCAGCAAAACACACUCCUCGGGCUGAACAAUUGAUGGAGCGUUUGCAAAACGCCCGUUCUCUCUCCAUGUUUAUGUCUCUUGACAUUCAGCAGGUGACCAGCGUUCUGCGAGAGAGCGAUUUGGUUUCCUAACAAUGGAAACUCAAUCACAAAAUGGAAGUGCUUUAAUUGCUUCAGAGCUCCAAUCCCUUGGCCUUCUCUCUCUCUCGCUCUCUUUCUCACUUUCUUUUUUUGUCUUUGUCUUUUUGUAGUGUGCUGUGGUAGAGGUGAUGGGAGAAAGAGAGCGGGCCUGGAAGGCCGACAGAGAAUACGGAAUCUAACACUGAACUGAGAGCUGCUAACUACUGAAAACUGCACAUCAUCAACAGGGUCUGCCUUUACCUUCCUGAUGGUUGAUUACCGUGACUUUUUCAGCAUCAAGGUCAUCACGGGAGAAUGAAGAUCUAGACACAUCUUGAUGAACCCUUGUAUGAAAAAUCAAAAAAGACGGACAGAGAAAGAAAAAAUAAGCCAUGGUUUAUUCUUUUGUGGAACAGAAGGUGAAAGAAGAAGUGGGCCGUUCCUCUAAGGAUCUACUGUCGUAGACACUUUCCCCUGAUCUGACAACAAAACCAGCACCUGUAAGAAGAGAAAACUUAAGUUUGGAGGGUGAAAAACAUUCAGGGCACAAAGUUGGCCAGGACAGCGACUAGCGUCUCCUCAAAAAUAGAUGCAUGACGCCCCUGCAAACCCGUGUUAGUCACGUCCGCCGUCCUUCUUCUUAGUCCGAGGUGCCGCUUCAUUCUUUCAGCAAGUAUUUAGAAUGACAGUUACAGAUCACACAGCUCUGAAAAUAAGACGAGAGAUUAUGCUGGUGACACGUUGCUGAGUCCGUCAAUCACUCUGCCUCCGACCCGGUGAGAAAUAUUAAACCCAGCACGUUUGCGUGUCUGUAUCAAAGCGCUGUGAGGGUGAAUUACGUGCUAGACACAACAGAAGUGAUAGCAAAGGUUUUGCCCCCACUGCCCUGCAUUCAUUCACUUUGAUGGGUUCAACUACCUUGACUCUUUGCAGAGGACACACUCUGAAUGAGUAACGUGAUUAAAGCCUGCAGAGACUGCGAAACAGAAUCGAAUCAAGCGCUUCUCGCAGUCACUGAAGAGAGAGACGCCUCAUUUGAAAACGAUUACAGUAGCAUCGCAACAUCUAGGACAGGCACGCUGGAGGAAAGUGCUCAAACCGAACCUGUCCCGCUGAAGAACCGCAUGGCUGUGUACCAGGCGGCGGUUUCCAAACAGGACAGAACCGGCUUCUCCAGCUCGGUCAUGGAGGAAGCCGAGGUUUGUUCCCUGCCUGGGGGUCUGGCCAGUGUCCGCAGACAGUUCGAGAAUGAGGGCAUGUCAUCAUCUCACACCGUCACCCAGAUUCAACACACACACAGAUCUGUGCAGGAGGUGUCAAAUUCAUCAGCGAUGAGUGUGGCGAGCAGCAGCGGGGGUCGACAAGUCUCGCAGCAGGUCUUCCUCCAGGAUGAAAGGACAGCACGUGAUCAAAUCGCUCAUAGCCGGGAGGUUGUUUCCAGUUAUGAGAAUAAUCACAAUGAAAUGGAGGAGGAAGACUACUAUCCAAGGCUCUCGACUAAAGAACUGGCACAGCAUUUUGAAAAGACUAUUGAGGAGGCAGCCCCGAGCAAGAAAAUUAAGAUUGAACGUGACAAAAGCCGUUCACAGCUGCCAAAAGAUGUGAUCGCGUCCCAUCAAACUGUGAAGAGUGAGAUGUCAAGGACUCUGAACAGUGUUGCCACAGAGAAAGUGGAAGAAGUUGAACCGAGUUCUGAGUUUGCUUUUGAUGAUGAAGAUGAUGAUGACGAAGAUGAUGAUGAUCUGGAUUAUCUGCCACCGCCCCCACCGGACUUACUGGAGGAACCUUCAGAAGUUGUGGAAAACUUUCCUGAACCUCCAGUGAAACAAACAGUGAACAGACAGCAAUACUACAAACAGAGGGAGCUAUUAGAGCUGAAACGUCUUUGCAAACACAUUCACCCUGAUGUCAGAAAAGACCUGGAAAGAGAUUUCUACAAUGACGAUGACAUUGAAGAAGUAGGAGACGUUCAAGAGGCAGCAUACCAGUUUGAACACACCGGCAGCAAUUCAAACGGAAGCCCGGAACGUGAAUAUUUGGAGUGGGAUGAGAUCUUGAGAGGCGAAGUGCAGUCCAUGCGCUGGAUGUUUGAGAACAAACCUUUGGACUGCAUUAAGGAUGACUCGGAUAACGAAGAAUAUGGGAAAAAGAUCAAUCAGCAGGAAAUCAUUCCUGGAGGUGACGUUAGGAACAGGGCUUUGAUGUUUGAGACGCAGCCCAUGGAUGCACUGGGAAUGCAACGUGAUUCAGCAAAACGAAACUAUCUAGUGAACGAAGUGGGGAAGAGAGAUGUUCGCACGGCCGCCUGGUUGUUCGAGACCAAGCCGAUGGAUACGCUAAAUAAAAUUCACUCUGAUGAUGAGCAAACCAAAGAAGUCAUCUUCACACAAGAAGCCACGGAAGGGGAUGUGAAGUCUGUGAGGUACAUGUUUGAAAACCAAGAAAUGGAUUCUCUGGGCGACACUGAAACUAUGGAUGAGAAGCAGUUGCUGAGCUUAAAGUCUGUGCUGGAGGAGAUCAAGUUGGAGGUGAAGAAAGUCAUUUGGAUGUUUGAGACGCAAUGCAUGUGUGUUAUGAGGGAGAACUCCGGUGAGAUGGUUUUGAUUACUUCUGUCCGCCGAGAGGAGACAGAGAAAGGUGAUGUCAAAACAUCAAGAUGGCUAUUUGAAACUCAGCCUUUGAAUGACAUUGACAUGGACCUUUCUCAGGUCAGGUUAAUCUCAAGUAUAUCCAUGGAAGACAACCAGGUGGGUGAUGCGAAAAGAGGAAGGUGGCUGUUUGAGACCAAGAGGCUUGACUCCAUAAACGCCCAGUGGGAGAGACUGCAAAAUCAGCAGAAAGAAGAGAUUCUUGGGGCGGAUGUACGCAAACACUGCAUGGUGUUUGAGACGCAGCCUAUGGACUCACUUAAAGAUGAUGCCAACUCCAGACCCGUCACCACAGAACAGAUUAUUGGUGGUAAUGUUCGUUCUGUGAGACACUUAUUUGAAAGUGCUCCACCGGAUGAGCUCAAAGAGCUUCCAGAAGUGGGGAAACUAAAUAGAAAAGCAGCAUUUGAAGAAGGAAGAGGUGAUGUGAGACAUCAAAAAUGGGUGUUUGAAAACAAACCUCUGGAGAACAUUAAGGAUGAGGAUGAUGAGGUAAACCGACUUAAGAAAACCAUAGCGUCUGAUGAAGAAAGAGGUGACGUGAGACAUCAAAGAUGGCUGUUUGAGAACCAGCGUUUGGAAGACAUUCAAGAGGAGAAAAGAGAGUUUGUGAAAACGAUCGAAUCAGAACAAAUAGAUAGAAGUUACAAGGGUGAUGUCCGCAGAAACUGUUGGGUGUUUGAGACGCAGCCGAUGGAUCAGUUAAAGGAUGAUUCCAAUGCCAGGCCAGUAAGUGCAGAAGAAAUUAUAGGAGGUGACGUUCAGUCUGCCAGACACUUUUUUGAGACUGCGCCAAAAGAUGAGAUGAAAGAGCUCGCAGAGGUGGGGAAGCUCAAAAGAAUGAUGACAUCUGAGGAGAAAGGAGACGUUCGACACCAGAAGUGGCUGUUUGAGAGCCAGCCGCUGGAGCAGAUCAGAGAGGAGAGAAAGGAAAUAACAAGAACUGUGAAUCUGGAGGAUAUAGAAAAUGUGGAUGUGAGCAAUUACAAGCAAAUUUUUGAAACCUAUGAUUUAAGCCAAUAUGACGAAAGUCAGAGAAUUCAAGUUGAGGGUGUCACCACUGGCUCUGUCAGAUCAAAUAAAGAUUUAUUUGAGUCUAUGCCGUUAUAUGCACUGCAAGACAGCUCCGGGCAUUAUCACGAGGUCAGAACCGUGCGGCGGGAAGAAAUCGUCAAAGGAGACGUCAGAAGCUGCCAGUGGAUGUUUGAAACUCGCCCUAUUGACCAAUUCGAUGAGAGCAUCAAUAAAUUCCAAAUCAUAAAGGGCAUAACACAGCAAGAGAUCGAAUCUGGAGAUGUCAAGAUGGCAAAAUGGCUCUUUGAAACCCAGCCUCUCGAUGCCAUUAAGUAUUUUAGCAAUAUUGAAGAUGAGGAGUGCGUUACUAGGGAGACGGCAGAAAUAGUCAAAGGUGAUGUUAAAACCUGUAAGUGGCUUUUUGAGACCAAACCUAUAGACAUGCUUUAUGAACGAGAAGAACUUCAGGGUACGAAAGAUUCUGCCGAAGUUCAGAAAGGCGAUGUGAAAACAUGCACUUGGCUUUUUGAAACUCAAACCCUUGAUGCCAUACAGGAUAACUCAGAGACAGUGUUGCAAACUCGCACUGUGAAACAAGAGGACAUUCACGGAAAGGACGUCCGCCUGGCACGUUUCCUGUUUGAGACGGAGAACCUAGAGAACAUUGUUGGAGGAGAGCGAGAAGCUUUUAAGAGCGUUACAGAGAUCGACAUACAAUCUGGGGACGUGUCUCGGAUGAAAUACAUAUUCGAAACCCAAUCUUCUGACGUUAUGAGCUCAACCUCUGAGGAUUUCAUGAGACAGCUGAGGAGCGCUCAAACUGAGGAUAUUCAGAAAGGAAAUGUUGGAAACUGCAAAUGGCUGUUUGAGAACCAACCCAUAGAUAAAAUCUCAGAGACCCCCGGUGAGCUAAAAGGAGCUCGCACGGUACAAGAUGUUCAGGGAGGCGAUGUGGAUAAAGGCAGAUUCAUUUUUGAGACCUACACGUUAGAUGAGAUUCAAGAUGCGUCCUCUGAGGCCGAAAUGAGAAAGCUGCAGAAAGUCAUAAGAGAGGAUGAGGAAAAGGGAGAUGUGAAAACAUACGCCAUGAUGUUUGAGACUCAGCCUCUCUAUGCCAUCCAAGACAAAGAAGGCCAUUAUCAUGAAGUGACCACACUUACAAAAGAAGAAAUUCAUAGAGGUGAUGUAGUAGGAGCCCGCUGGCUGUUUGAGACAAAGCCCCUGGACUCAAUUAGAGAGACAGAUGAGGUCUAUCUCUUAAAAGCCGUUACAGAGGAAGAUAUCCAAAAAGGUGAUGUCAGCUCAGCGAGGUGGAGGUUUGAAACCCAGCCCCUUGAUAAGAUUGCAGAAGAUGCCAAAAUAUCAAUCAAAACUGUUGAGGACAUUCAGGGAGGGGAUGUAAAGACAAACAAGCAGCGUUUUGAAUCUGAUGCUUUGUCUCAAAAGUUGGUGCGUACUGUCAGCAUGAGUGAGAUUCAUAAAGGAGAUGUUAGGACGGCAAAAUGGAUGUUUGAAACACAUACAAUUGAUCAGAUACAUGGUGAAAAGUCAGAAGAUGAGAUGAAGACUGUUGUUAUGGAGGAAGAGCUGAAGGGGGAUGUCAAACAGUCUGUGUGGCUAUUUGAGAAGAAUCCUCUUGAUCAUAUCAACGAAAGUGACGAAGCUAAGAAGAUAAUUUGUGAAGAAAUCCCCAAAGCGGAUGUAAAAACCACAACGUGGCUUUUUGAAACCACGCCGAUCACUGAAUUUAACGAGAGCAGCUUGGAGAAGACGGAAAUCGUUGGUAAAAGCAUUAAAGCCACCCUCGAUGAACUGUUCACCCAAAGAAUGGUGGACAACAAAGGUAUCAUUAUAGAGGCAGAUGAAAUUGGAGACGUUCGUAUGGCUAAGUACAACCUCAUGAAUAAAGAAACUCCCCAGAUCCAAAGAGAAGACAUCAUUAAAGGAGAUCUGCAAAACAUCAUGAUGAACCUCCUUAACAGGCAAGAGAAUACCGAAAGGGGAAUAGUUAUAAAUGCAGAGGAGAGGGGAGACAUCAGCGGCACGGUGCAACAGCUGUUCCAAGAGCACAGCGGCACCUCUGUGGAGAAAGAGGAAAUAAUAAGAGGUGACAUUCAGGAAGCCAUAAACAACCUGCUGAAAGAGGAGAGCACCGGCAAACGGGGCAUUCUCAUUCAAGAAGACGAAAAGGGAGAUGUUCGUAUGACGAUCUACUCUUUAUUCAAUUCUCCAGAGGAAUCAAGCACUCAGAAAGAAUAUAUAGUUGGAGGUAAUGUGAAAGGGUGCCUGGAGAGACUUUGCAAUCCAGACACAGAAGAGAUUGUGAGAAUUAAAGUGGAUGAAGCAGAAAGGGGAAAGGUGAGCUUUUAUUCUACAUGCAUUGAGUCGGGUGCGCUGGAUUACCUCAAAAAGCUCCAGGUAGAGCCAGAUGAGGCUGACCCAGGUAAAAUUGAAAAAGAGGAAAUCAUCGGUGGUGAUAUUAAGGGAACGAAACUCAGCCUGACAUGUAAUCAAGCUCAAAUUGGUCGUCUGGUGGACAGGGAAGAUAUAGUCCCAGGCGAUGUUCAUAACACAGUUAAGGUUUUCAUGACCGAGCCUCCAGUCUCAUUGGAAAAUUUACAGAGAGAAGAGAUUGUGAGGGGAGACCUACAAGCAGCCAUGAAUUCUCUAUCACAGUCUGUAAACCAGACGGUUGUUUUGGAAAAAGAAGUAGUCAUUCGUGCUGAUUUACCUACAACUCUAAGGUCUCUAGAGGAGGCCCAAAAUCAGCCCAGAGAGGUGGACAAGCCCGAAAUCAUUCCUGGUAACAUCAAAGGAGCACUGAAGUCACUCAAAGACUCUGCUUCCACCAAGGUGGAAAUUGUCGUAGAAGAUUUAGUGCCAGGUGACAUCAAAGGUACGUUGAAAUCGCUGGAGGAGGCCAAACAUGCAGUGCGAGAGGUGGAGAAGGAGGUGAUUGUUAAGGGUGACAUUCACACGGCAAUACAGAGUCUACACGAAGCGUCAAAUGAGAGAAAGGUUUGCCAGCAGGAGAUUGAAGUCCAGGGAGACGUGAAAGGCAAGAUUCAACUCUUACUUGAACCUCCUCCAUCUCCCCGAAUGCAACGCAGGGCGAGCACAGAGGGCGACGUGAAGCUUUCCAUAAAAUCGCUCUAUGACACCCAAGAGCAAGUGCAAUCAGAGAAAGAAGAAGUGAUAAAAGGAGACGUUAAGGGUACAAUAAAAUACUUAAUGGAAACGGCACAGAGAGCUAGCCCAACCAUUCCCCGAAGGCAGCCGAUAAGAAAGGUCAAAGUUCCUGCCAAGACCCCGUCUCCAUCAGUGAAAGACAUCCCGGCACAGAAGCCCACCCCUGCAGUUAAAAACCUUGAUAUGAGCAGUGAAUCGAAGAGAAGCGCUCACAAGCAAUCAAUGCAAAACAGAUACGCAUCUCAAGAGAGUACUACAAUCACCGGCCACACCGCAACAUGCAGCCAGGAGACAAAAACCACAGUGCUGGAGCACAAAACAAUUGUUCAAACACACGGUGUCAAAACGUUGAAGACUGACUUCCGUAACCUCAAAAAAAGUGGCUGUAAGGGUUUGAUCAGACUGGAUAAAAGAAAACAGCAGGAAAUCUGUAUGCCACCUCCACCACCUGACCCCGAGCCCCCUCUGCCUCCCCCUCCAACGCCCCCUCCAGAUUAUGAUAGCAUCUCCUUCCCCACUCCUCCUCCGAGCAUUAGGGGUGAUCAUGAUCUUCCCCCUCCUCCUACUCCUCCUCCUCCAUGUGAUCCAUCCAAGAUAGAACUUGAGCAUUUACCUCCUCCACCAACCCCGCCACCUCCUCCUCUUCCCACAGCUGAGCUAGACCUCCUCCCUCCACCUCCCACAGAACAGGAGCUGGACCUCCUUCCGCUGCCCAACAUAACACCAUCCAAACCUACUAAAAUGACUGUCAAACCCGUCAAAGCACCAACUCUGUGUAAAGUACCCAAGCUUGAGCCAGCGAUUUCAUUUGAGAAAAUUGAUGUGCAGACUACACAAAAGACCAAGGGUAGAAAAAAUGUCACCACAUCAUCAGUUAAGUCCACCGUGAUAACCUCCGAAAUUCAGUCUGCAUUUACAAAGCAGCCACCGGAGUCUCCACGGCCUCCCAAGAAAGUUUUUGCCCCCGUAACACUCACACCACCCCCCUCUCCUCCUCCUCCGCCCAAAUCCCCGGUAAGCAAAUUCAAAACCCCAUUAAUACAAGCCGAACAGAAGUACAGACAGCAGAGGGAGGAAAGCUGCACGCCGCCACCACCGCGCUCCCCGGCCUUUGAAAUCCGCAUGCACGAGUCAGUCGGUGCAGCCCUUGAAAUGCUUUCUUCAGAGAGCACGGGCACGGUGCAAUCAGAGGCAAGCAUAUCAUUUGAUUUCACUCAAGAGAGAGCUCAAAAGAGUGUGACCAAAUCCGAAUCAGCCACAGACUCAUAUGAUUCAUCCAAGCACACAGCUCUCUCAAACGCUCCCCCAAGCAAGGCUUUGAUCGCUGCCACAAAUGAGAAAUCUCCUUCAGAAUCUGCUGUUAUUUCCUCAGUUAAACAGAACAUUAUCUCUAAUCAGUCAUCGCAGAGCUCUACAGGUCAGCAGCAGACCACCUCCACUUCAACUAAAAAGAAAAAGAAGAGAUCCGUGAUGACCAACAUACAACAGGUGACGAAGACGGUUAUUACAAACACAGCUAAAGAAGAAAUGAAGUCCUCUGUCGAAACAGACAAACCUCAAAGUGUCUCUAAAAAUGAAUCUGAGAAUGUUGGAAAAGAUGUUUGCAGCAUAUCUUUAUCCGAGGGCAAAACAAAAGAGGAAGGCUCCCCAAAGAAAAAUCAAGAAAAAAACUCCCCUGAUCGAUCCAAACUGAACAAAGAGAGUCAAAUUAAGGAUGCUGAUCAGAAGCCACAAAAGGUCGACAGUCAAAAGGCAAAGAAAGUUAGUAAGAGUGUUAAACUGGAAGGCAAGGCGAAAGCCACAGUGGAGCAGGAGAGUGUUCAGGUGAAAGAAAGCAGAGAAAAAAGCCCCACAGAAAAAGAAAAUACAGUAGAGAAAGAGGCCAAAGAGAAACCUGUAGAGGGGCCCCCUGCCACUCCGAAAAAGAAAAGGAGGAGCAAAAAUAAGAAAGACAGAGAAGCUACUCAAAGCAACAACGGCGCAUCCAUCUCGCCCACAGAGGCCACGCUUGCUGAGCCUAAGUGGCCAGUCCUGACAUCCGAUAAAAAACAAGAAGAAAUCACCGUUGUGCAAACACAGCACACCAUUCAAACAGGACACGCCAAGGUUUACAAGGAGGUCAUCGAAACUGAAAGUACAGUCCAAGAGCAGAGUUUCCAGGAGGAGGGCGCGACUGUAAAACUUCAAAAGCGGGCCAGUGGAAGCCAGCAGAUUCCUGAGGAAUCAAAAGAUGAAAGCAGAAAUGUUCCCAUAAAAAUGACAGGCAAAUCUGCACAAAAGGAGCCUGCAGAGUCCUCGGUGGAAAGCUCAGACACAUCUCUAAGACAAGCCGAAGCGCAGAAGAUGUUGUCUCGUAUCUCGGAGUUACAGGGGGUUGCUGGAAAAAUGGACUUUAAGUCUGUGAAGACGCUGCUCAAUGAAAUGCCCGCCUGGCUUCUGGGGCCAGAGGAGCAGAGUGAUUUAGAAGGGGCAGCUGUCGAACACAACGAACAGAAGCUGAAAGAAAUUCUGGCACAUGUUAAAAACCUUGUUCAAGCUAAGCUAAUGCACUUUGACGGCACUAUUGAAAAGCAUGAAUGCGAGGCCACCUCUGAGAAAUUAGUCUCUGGCGGAGCUGUACAAAGAAUUUCGAAGAUUUCCAUUGGUUCUACAAAGUGCGAAACACAGAAGGUGGUCAAAGAGGAGACGAAGACAACGCGCAAGAGCCGAAAGCAACAAACGAGCAGCGUUACCACUCUUGACCCCAGAGCUCCGUCCCCACUGUUACGGAUGCGCUCUCCAUCACCUACGUUCAUCACCAUCGAGUCCACGAAGAGAACCGACUCGCCACAGAGGGCAGUGCCCUCGCCUUCCCCAACGCCUCCGACACCUCCUCCGCGUAGGUCUGAGACGCCAAGCUCUCGCUUAAGCAGGGCCUCACCUUCACCCUCCUCGAACCGGGCUGAUAGUCUGACACGGCUUAGAAAUGCCACGGCUACGCUCUCCCGCGGCGCCUCGCCUGAUCCGGUGUCUCGCGUGGUGUCGGUCGCUGGAAAGAAGUCUGAAAUUGUGGAAUCUCCCGCCACGUUCCAACGGCAGAUCAAAAUUGAUUCUGAGAAAAAGGUUGAAGAGGAGACUCUCAAAGUGGUGAGUGUUGAAGUGAAUAACAUCAACGUGAGUGGAAAUGCUGUUAAUGUUCCAGAGGAUGCCAAAGCUGUGAAAGAAAAGGGAAAUCUCUCUAAGGUUGACCUGUCUGGACUAGCCAAACCAAUUGAGACGUCAGAAGAGAAAGUUGGUAUUAGAAAAGACCCAGUUGGCAAUACAGAGAAGCCUGGCAGGGAAACUGACGACCUGGAGCUUGAUACGGAGAAAAAAGCAAGACAACAAGAGGAUAUGGCUCCUUUCAACAUCAAGGAUAUUAAAAAUGUUUUUGAAAUGAGUGAGCAAAGUUCCCCCAUCAAAGAGCUACAAAACAAACAGGAGGAACAGGAGUCAAGAGUGAGUGAAAUUGCAUCUGAAGGUUCAAAGCCUGAGCUUCCUCCAGAGAGGGAACAAUGCUCCCAGCUGAGCUCCCCUCCGCUUGUGCACAGAGAUGUGAAAGUAGACAAGUCUGUCGAUCCAACAGGCUUUUCAGAGACAAAAACAGUCACUGAGCAUUAUUCUUCUGUUGACGAGUUUGGCACUAAAAUUAUUGGAUCAAGAAGCACCACGACGGUUUCCGCGCACUCCGAAAGCGUUACGACGCAACGGGUGCCUUUUUCCUAUGCUGAUGCUGUGAAGAAAAAGACGUCAGAGGUGACGGUGUCACCUGAGGCCUCUGCAGAGGAACUGAUGAAGAACUUCCAUAAAACGUGGACUGAAAGUGAGAGUGUUUUCAAAAGCUUAGGUGUCACAGGUGAGAGAGCCACGUCACCCGCUAGUGCAUCAAACCGAGACUGCUGUGCCGGGUAAAUAUGCCUGCAGUGCAUGAUGGGAAUGAAAUUUAACAGCAAGCUACUGAAAAACUUCUAAGAUUCGAGUACCAAAGUCGGAGAUGUGUGCGGUGUGCAAGAAGAGGGUUUACCCCAUGGAAGGCCUGAUAGCCGACAAAAAGAAGUUCCA